Molecule: long non-coding RNA, 461 nt
Filed under: Pan troglodytes (chimpanzee)
Lineage: Eukaryota; Metazoa; Chordata; Mammalia; Primates; Hominidae
Description: lincRNA
Source: RNAcentral
CUGUCAGAGCUGUCAGCCUGCUUAAACAGGGGAAAAUGGUACAGGCAGAGCUGGUCUGGUAUCAGGAAAAAGGCUGCCUACGAUAAUCCACUGCAGGACCCUAAAAGUCUCAACCUUAGGGCCCCCUCGGACCGUCUCCAAUGUCGGGUCCCGCUGGAGAAGGAGGCAUUUCGAGAGUGUUGGAAACAUUCUUUUGUAAAAUCUACAAAGAAACAUUUUGGAGUCCAUUGAGGCCUUUAGUGAAAAACUGAAUAUUUUGCCUUGAAAACCAGAAACAAGCUAUCUGUGAAAAUGCUUUGUGAUGGAAGAUUUAUCUCACAGAGUUAAACAUUUGUAUUGAUUCAGCUGGCUGGCAACACUCUUUUUGUAAAAUCUACAAUGGGACAUUUCAGAGACCAUUGAGGUCUAUAGAAAAAGACUGAAUAUCCCGUGAUUAAAACUAGAAACAAGCUAUCCAUCAA